Small nucleolar RNA from Artibeus jamaicensis (Jamaican fruit-eating bat), 104 nucleotides. RefSeq annotates it as small nucleolar RNA U13. The transcript has a single exon. NCBI's taxonomy places the organism in Eukaryota, Metazoa, Chordata, Mammalia, Chiroptera, Phyllostomidae. The record is from RefSeq and is a predicted model, not a curated record.
UUUUUUUUGCAGUUCGUAUACAUGAUGAUUGGGUGUUCACAGUAUCAUGAGAGAUGUGCCUCUCCCAAACCUUAUUUACUACAUCAGCACAUACCCAUGUGAUG